GCAUACUGAAUGAGGAGACUGGCGGCCCGAUACAUGAUCAUCGAUGACCAACUCUACUAGAGGUCAUCGUCUUUGCCCCUACUCAAGUGCCUCUGACCCUCCAAAGCCGACACGCUCUUCGGGAGGUGCAUGAGAGCAUUUAUAACAACCAUUUUGGGGGCAAGCCGCUGUUCUAUAACUUACUAUGGUAAGGAUAUUAUUAGCUGACCAUGCAGAAGGAUGCUACCGAUCUAGUGCAGAAGUGCGACCAAUAUCUGAGGUUUGCCAAUGUCUAAAGAUUUUCGUCAAGUCAACUCACAACGAUUUUGGUACCAUGGCCAUUCGAUCAGUGGAGAGUCGAUAUACUCGAUCCUUUUUCGCUUGCUAGUGGAGA
RNAcentral lists this long non-coding RNA (373 nucleotides) under Elaeis guineensis (African oil palm). RNAcentral's name for it is "long non-coding RNA (EGUI_LNC019000)". The record is from RNAcentral. Lineage: Eukaryota; Viridiplantae; Streptophyta; Magnoliopsida; Arecales; Arecaceae.